AUGGGGUGCUUGCAACCUGAUGGCGAGUGGCGAACGGGUGAGUAAUACAUCGGAACGUACCAAGUAAUGGGGGAUAACUACUCGAAAGAGUGGCUAAUACCGCAUACGCCCUAAGGGGGAAAGCAGGGGAUCUUCGGACCUUGCGUUAUUUGAGCGGCCGAUGUCUGAUUAGCUAGUUGGUGGGGUAAGAGCCUACCAAGGCGACGAUCAGUAGCGGGUCUGAGAGGAUGAUCCGCCACACUGGGACUGAGACACGGCCCAGACUCCUACGGGAGGCAGCAGUGGGGAAUUUUGGACAAUGGGCGAAAGCCUGAUCCAGCCAUGCCGCGUGUAUGAAGAAGGCCUUCGGGUUGUAAAGUACUUUUGUUAGGGAAGAAAAGCUUGUUGUUUUUAUAAGGAGCAAGCCAUGACGGUACCUAAAGAAUAAGCACCGGCGUAAUGCGUGCCAGCAGCCGCGGUAAU
RNAcentral lists this ribosomal RNA (462 nucleotides) under uncultured beta proteobacterium. Its description in RNAcentral is "bacterial SSU rRNA". It matches the Rfam family "Bacterial small subunit ribosomal RNA", at positions 71 to 524 of the family's 1533-position model. The record is from RNAcentral. Lineage: Bacteria; Pseudomonadati; Pseudomonadota; Betaproteobacteria.